CACUCCUGCGGGAGGCAGCAGUGGGGAAUAUUGGACAAUGGGCGCAAGCCUGAUCCAGCCAUGCCGCGUGAGUGAUGAAGGCCCUAGGGUUGUAAAGCUCUUUCACCGGUGAAGAUAAUGACGGUAACCGGAGAAGAAGCCCCGGCUAACUUCGUGCCAGCAGCCGCGGUAAUACGAAGGGGGCUAGCGUUGUUCGGAUUUACUGGGCGUAAAGCGCACGUAGGCGGACUAUUAAGUCAGGGGUGAAAUCCCGGGGCUCAACCCCGGAACUGCCUUUGAUACUGGUAGUCUUGAGUUCGAGAGAGGUGAGUGGAAUUCCGAGUGUAGAGGUGAAAUUCGUAGAUAUUCGGAGGAACACCAGUGGCGAAGGCGGCUCACUGGCUCGAUACUGACGCUGAGGUGCGAAAGCGUGGGGAGCAAACAGGAGUAGAAACCCCUGUAGUCCCAUGA
This 450-nucleotide ribosomal RNA is filed under the name uncultured organism. RNAcentral describes it as "partial 16S ribosomal RNA". It matches the Rfam family "Bacterial small subunit ribosomal RNA", at positions 334 to 800 of the family's 1533-position model. The record is from RNAcentral.